This 271-nucleotide ribosomal RNA is filed under the name uncultured bacterium. Its description in RNAcentral is "partial 16S ribosomal RNA". The record is from RNAcentral.
CUGCUGCCUCCCGUAGGAGUCUGGUCCGUGUCUCAGUACCAGUGUGGGGGACCUUCCUCUCAGAACCCCUACGCAUCGUCGCCACGGUGGGCCGUUACCCCGCCGUCUAGCUAAUGCGCCGCAUGCCCAUCCUCUUCCGAUGAACCUUUCCUCGAUCUCGGAUGCCCGAAACCGAUAUACGCGGGAUUAGCCUCCCUUUCGGAAGGUUGUCCCCCUGAAGAGGGCAGGUUGCAUACGUGUUACUCACCCGUGCGCCGGUCGCCGGCAAAGG